GCCACGAAAGGAAUUUAAAUCCCCCGGGAUACGGAACGGGUCAGCCUCAGGGCAGCCUGCCGCGCACUGGCUCUGAUGCUGCCACGCCGAGUGAGCCUAGGCAAGUCACUUCUCUGUUUCGAGCUGCACCCUUUCCUCCCCCCUGGAGUUCUAACAUUUAAGCACUGGAAGAACAAGGUGAAACAUGGGUUGCAUUCUAUGAGGUCAACAAACAACUAGAAGCCAGAAGAUGUCAAAUAUCAGCUCACGGUCAUUGGCCUUUGGAAAGGUCGAGGGUGGAAUGUCGCGGGGCUCUGUCCCCAGCCCCAUCCUGUUCAACAAGUCUGUGGAUCACUACUGUCCAGUCAACGUAUUGGACCCUCGCCAGCUACAUGUUAGAGGAAAGAGUUCCGGGGCACGCACGAAGUUUCUGCGAAAACAGUGAAACCAACUGCAAAUCUUUAAUGGAAGAGAUGUAUGCCUCUUUUUUAACAGCUUAGAGCCAAAUAUUAAUAAAUUAGUAGCCAUGCAA
This is a long non-coding RNA of Lemur catta (Ring-tailed lemur), 511 nucleotides long. RefSeq lists it as uncharacterized. Lineage: Eukaryota; Metazoa; Chordata; Mammalia; Primates; Lemuridae. The transcript is spliced from 2 exons. The record is from RefSeq and is a predicted model, not a curated record.